AAGUCGUAGCAAGGUUUCCGUAGGUGAAUCUGCGAAGGAUCAUUAACACGUCCAACUUUAAAACCCCCUGUGAACCUUCAUUGUGAACCCCCAUUCCGUGAGAACGCGGCAAUCCUGGUAAAUCAUCGCCGAACAGUUUUGAUUCGGGAACCUCUGCAUGGUUUGGUCAGCUCCGCGAGACAAGUGGCCUGGCAUUCGUAAGAAUAGCGCAGUCAAAAUCGCCAGAGGCCAACACGGCCGGCGACCGGGUCCCCCUCUAUCACCCCUUUGCAUGAAACGGGCCUGCGCUUAAUCGUGCGACCACCAAACUUCGCAACUGUUAAAAAUGGAUAUCUUGGUUCUC
RNAcentral lists this unclassified non-coding RNA (343 nucleotides) under fungal sp. RNAcentral describes it as "partial internal transcribed spacer region". Lineage: Eukaryota; Fungi. The record is from RNAcentral.